GUCCUAGCCUAACGAUGCUCAUUAGAUGUGGGAGGUAUCGACCCUUCCGCGUCGUAGCUAACGCGUUAAUGAGCCGCCUGGGAGUACGGCCGCAAGGUUGAACUCAAGGAAUUGACGGGCCCGCACAAGCGGUGGAACAUGUGGUUUAAUUCGACGCAACGCGAAGAACCUUACCUGGGCUUGAACUACCGGUGGUAAGUCCUUGGAAACAGGGGCUGACCCGCAAGGGAGCCGGCAGAGGUGCUGCAUGGUUGUCGU
Molecule: ribosomal RNA, 258 nt
Filed under: uncultured bacterium
Lineage: Bacteria
Description: partial 16S ribosomal RNA
Rfam family: Bacterial small subunit ribosomal RNA
Source: RNAcentral